UGCUCUAGUUUCUCUUCAGAUUGUAUGAAUCUUUUGCCUUUUACUAAAGGUUUCCGUGGAGAGCAAUGCCCAGAGAAUAAGCAAUUUUUUUGUUGCCCUACUUCUGUAGGCUU
Hemiscyllium ocellatum (epaulette shark) is the source of this 113-nucleotide small nuclear RNA. RefSeq annotates it as U5 spliceosomal RNA. Lineage: Eukaryota; Metazoa; Chordata; Chondrichthyes; Orectolobiformes; Hemiscylliidae. The record is from RefSeq and is a predicted model, not a curated record. The transcript has a single exon.